CAGUUCGGAUUGUAGGCUGAAACUCGCCUACAUGAAGCUGGAGUUACUAGUAAUCGCAGAUCAGAAUGCUGCGGUGAAUGCGUUCCCGGGUCUUGUACACACCGCCCGUCACACCACGGAAGUUGGGGGCGCCCGAAGCCACUUAGCUAACCCUUUGGGAAGCGAGUGUCGAAGGUGAAAUCAAUAACGUGGGGUGAAGUCGUAACAAGGUAGC
This 214-nucleotide ribosomal RNA is filed under the name uncultured bacterium. RNAcentral's name for it is "partial 16S ribosomal RNA". It matches the Rfam family "Bacterial small subunit ribosomal RNA", at positions 1289 to 1500 of the family's 1533-position model. The record is from RNAcentral.